UGAAUACGAGACGCUAAGGCGUUGAAGUAGUGUAUGUCAUACUUCCAAGAAAAGCUUGCACUGUCAUAGAUAAAAAACGCCUGUACCAUAACCGACACAGGUGGGUAGGUAGAGUAUACUAAGGGGCGCGAGAUAACUCUCUCUAAGGAACUCGGCAAAAUAACUCCGUAACUUCGGGAGAAGGAGUGCCUUAUUUAUAAGGCUGCAAUAACAAGAUCCAAGCAACUGUUUAUCAAAAACACAGGUCUCCGCUAAGUCGUAAGACGAUGUAUGGGGGCUGACGCCUGCCCAGUGCCAGAAGGUUAAAGAAGUUGGUUAGCAAUAGCGAAGCUGAUAACUGAAGCCCUGGUGAACGGCGGCCGUAACAAUAACGGUCCUAAGGUAGCGAAAUUCCUUGUCGGGUAAGUUCCGACCCGCACGAAAGGCGUAAUGAUUUGGAUACUGUCUCGGAGAGGGGCUCGGUGAAAUAGACUUGUCUGUGAAGAUGCGGACUACCUGCACCAGGACAGAAAGACCCUAUGAAGCUUUACUGUAACUUGAAAUUGAAAUUGGACUUUAUUCGCGCAGUAUAGGUGGGAGGCGUUGAUUGUAAUCUUGCGGGAUUAUUGGAGCCAUCAGUGAGAUACCACCCUUGUAAUGUUAGAUUUCUAACUUUGAAUCAUUAUCUGGUCAAAGAACAGUUUCAGGCGGGCAGUUUGACUGGGGCGGUCGCCUCCUAAACGGUAACGGAGGCGUACAAAGGUUUCCUCUGAACGGUUAGAAAUCGUAUCUAGAGUGUAAAGGCAUAAGGAAGCUUGACUGUGAGACCUACAAGUCGAGCAGGGACGAAAGUCGGUCUUAGUGAUCUGACGGUACUGAGUGGAAAGGCCGUCACUCAACGGAUAAAAGUCACUCUAGGAUAACAGGCUGAUCUCCCCCAAGAGUUCACAUCGACGGGGAGGUUUGGCACCUCGAUGUCGGCUCAUCGCAUCCUGGGGCGGUAGUACGUCCCAAGGGUUGGGCUGUUCGCCCAUGAAAGCGGUACGCGAGCUGGGUUCAGAACGUCGUGAGACAGUUCGGUCCAUAUCCGGUGUAGGCGUUAGAAUAUUGAGAGGAGCCUUCUUUAGUACGAGAGGACCGAGAAGGACAUACCUCUGGUGUACCAGUUAUCGUGCCAACGGUAAACGCUGGGUAGCUAUGUAUGGAGUGGAUAACCGCUGAAAGCAUCUAAGUGGGAAGCCCACCUCAAGAUAAG
This 1234-nucleotide ribosomal RNA is filed under the name metagenome. Its description in RNAcentral is "bacterial LSU rRNA". It matches the Rfam family "Bacterial large subunit ribosomal RNA", at positions 1564 to 2808 of the family's 2925-position model. The record is from RNAcentral.